This 399-nucleotide transfer-messenger RNA is filed under the name Anaerolineales. RNAcentral's name for it is "JAFGQI01 sp016935755 Standard tmRNA". It matches the Rfam family "transfer-messenger RNA". Rfam says of the family: Bacterial tmRNA, also known as 10Sa RNA or SsrA, is named for its dual tRNA and mRNA-like properties. Its role is to liberate the mRNA from a stalled ribosome. RNAcentral also lists the same sequence under 1 other name. Lineage: Bacteria; Bacillati; Chloroflexota; Anaerolineae. The record is from RNAcentral.
GGGGAUGACAGGUCUCGACGGGAGAGGCUGGCCCCGGAUUGCGAGCCGAUCGGCGCCGAAAUCGUAAAAUCAGCGCAAAAAACAAGUGCCAACCGCACUUCCUACGCUGCUCUGCCCCUCGCUGCAUAAGCGAUCGGUUGAGUGGCUGGCCCUCUAAGAAGGACCACGUCCGCCUGCCCCGCCCUCUGACCGGAGGCAGAGCCGGGCGUAACAAAGUCAGAGUGCCGCAUACCCAUGUCGCUAAGUGUGCGAAAGAAGGACUUUCGGGUCCCAGCGGCUGGCUGGUGAGUUCCUUUGUCGGAUGAGGGCUCGCUGGCGAAACCAAACAACCGACUACGCUCGUAGAUAUUCGAGGGACGAUUCUUUCGGACUCGGGUUCGAUUCCCGACAUCUCCACCA